Molecule: long non-coding RNA, 128 nt
Organism: Haliotis rubra (blacklip abalone)
Lineage: Eukaryota; Metazoa; Mollusca; Gastropoda; Lepetellida; Haliotidae
Exons: 3
Source: RefSeq, a predicted model, not a curated record
AUUCUAAUUUGUGCUUUACGUGGUGUUGGGGGAGCAGUGGAGUGUAUCAGGGUCAGGAGGUACAGGGAUACCCAACCAGCAGGCUCUGACACUGAGAUGCAGCUACACUGUGACAACCUGGUGAUGUU